Molecule: ribosomal RNA, 240 nt
Filed under: uncultured bacterium
Lineage: Bacteria
Description: partial 16S ribosomal RNA
Rfam family: Bacterial small subunit ribosomal RNA
Source: RNAcentral
GCGGUGAAAUGCGUAGAUAUCAGGAGGAACACCGGUGGCGAAAGCGCUCGUCUGGCCCAAUACUGACGCUGAUGCGCGAAAGCUAGGGGAGCAAACGGGAUUAGAUACCCCGGUAGUCCUAGCCGUAAACGGUGAGCACUAGGUGUUGGAGGCAUCGACCCCUCCAGUGCCGUAGCUAACGCACUAAGUGCUCCGCCUGGGGAGUACGGCCGCAAGGUUGAAACUCAAAUGAAUUGACGG